UUCCAGACUCCUACGGGAGGCAGCAGUGGGGAAUAUUGCACAAUGGGGGAAACCCUGAUGCAGCAACGCCGCGUGAGUGAGGAAGUAUUUCGGUAUGUAAAGCUCUAUCAGCAGGGAAUAGAAAAGAAGGUACCUGAAAAAGAAGCCCCGGCUAACUACGUGCCAGCAGCCGCGGUAAUACGUAGGGGGCAAGCGUUAUCCGGAUUUACUGGGUGUAAAGGGAGCGUAGACGGCGGCGCAAGUCUGAUGUGAAAACCCGGGGCUCAACCCCGGGACUGCAUUGGAAACUGUCAGGCUAGAGUGUCGGAGAGGCAAGUGGAAUUCCUAGUGUAGCGGUGAAAUGCGUAGAUAUUAGGAGGAACACCAGUGGCGAAGGCGGCUUGCUGGACGAUGACUGACGUUGAGGCUCGAAAGCGUGGGGAGCAAACAGGAUUAGAUACCCGUGUA
RNAcentral lists this ribosomal RNA (447 nucleotides) under uncultured bacterium. Its description in RNAcentral is "partial 16S ribosomal RNA". It matches the Rfam family "Bacterial small subunit ribosomal RNA", at positions 329 to 792 of the family's 1533-position model. The record is from RNAcentral.